RNAcentral lists this unclassified non-coding RNA (915 nucleotides) under Hevea brasiliensis (rubber tree). The record is from RNAcentral. Lineage: Eukaryota; Viridiplantae; Streptophyta; Magnoliopsida; Malpighiales; Euphorbiaceae.
GCUUCAUCAAACACUGGAAAUGGGAGAUCACAGCUCUCUUAAGCUUCCUCCUGGAUUUCGUUUCUGCCCAACUGAUCAAGAACUCGUCCUUCACUUCCUCUACCGCAAAGCUUCCCUGUUGCCUUCUCAUGAAAUCAUUCCUGAUCUCCAUCAUCUUCAUCCUCUUGAUCCAUGGAACCUCCAUGGUAAGGCCCUUUCUAGUGGAAACCAGUGGUAUUUCUUUGCACAUAUGAUGGAAUUUGAGAGCCAGCAGCAGGUCACAGAGAAUGGACUGUGGAAGCAACUGGAUGUUCAGCAACCUAUCUUUAGUGAUUCUGGUAACAAGAUUGGAAUCAAGAAUUAUCUCGUCUACUAUAUCGGCCAACAUCCUGCUGCUAUAGAAACCAAUUGGAUGAUGCACCAAUAUCAUCUCUGCAACUCAUCAUCUCCUAAACGAAUCAGAAAAUCUGAUUACCAUAAAUGGGUUCUAUGUCGAGUUUAUCAAAGUACGGAGAAUUGUUGUCAAAGUUUCAAUUGCACAGAUGAAUGUGGAAAUGAUGAAGAUGAUGAUGAUGGGACUGAGCUUUCAUGCUUAGAUGAAAUGUUCUUGUCAUUGGAAGAUGAUUUAGAUGAUAUAAGUUUGCCAAAUUAACCAUCUUUACAAAUGUUCAUUUUGUUUGAUUAGGCUCCAAUUAAACUUAUGCCUUUGUGUGUAAACAUGUGUAUCUCAAUAUUAAUUAUUUUCCUUAAGGGGUCAUCAGUCUUCUUCAUAUAUUUUCAAAAUUGGAAACAUGGUUGUAUUAUUAGUUGACUAUUCUAUUUUAAUGAUUAUGUACUAUCUGCUGUUUCAUUAAGCAAUUAGGGUUUGAUUUUUAAGGGUUAGACUACAAGAAGAUGUUUUGGUGGUAUUGUACUCAUUGUUCAAUUAUUUUAAAA